Long non-coding RNA from Sebastes umbrosus (honeycomb rockfish), 101 nucleotides. RefSeq lists it as uncharacterized. Lineage: Eukaryota; Metazoa; Chordata; Actinopteri; Perciformes; Sebastidae. The transcript has 3 exons. The record is from RefSeq and is a predicted model, not a curated record.
AUCAUGGCUGCUACUGAGAUACUUCCGGGUCAUUUCACUCCGUUAGGAACCUUCCUAAGAGAAAAGGACUAUUCGACCGCAGCCCUGCUAUUUUCAUUUUC